GCUAGUUGCUGACGAGUGGCGGACGGGUGAGUAAUACUUAGGGAUCUGCCUCUGUGUGGGGGAUAACUAUUGGAAACGAUAGCUAAUACCGCAUAACGUCUACGGACCAAAGAGGGCUUCGGCUCUCGCGCAGAGAGGAACCUAAGCGAGAUUAGCUUGUUGGUGAGGUAAAGGCUCACCAAGGCGACGAUCUCUAGCUGUUCUGAGAGGAAGAUCAGCCACACUGGAACUGAGACACGGUCCAGACUCCUACGGGAGGCAGCAGUGGGGAAUAUUGCACAAUGGGGGCAACCCUGAUGCAGCCAUGCCGCGUGUGUGAAGAAGGCCUUCGGGUUGUAAAGCACUUUCAGUUGUGAGGAAAGGUUAGUAGUUAAUACCUGCUAGCUGUGACGUUAACAACAGAAGAAGCACCGGCUAACUCCGUGCCAGCAGCCGCGGUAAUACGGAGGGUGCGAGCGUUAAUCGGAAUUACUGGGCGUAAAGCGCACGCAGGCGGUCUGUUAAGCUAGAUGUGAAAGCCCCGCGCUC
This 528-nucleotide ribosomal RNA is filed under the name uncultured Aestuariibacter sp. RNAcentral's name for it is "bacterial SSU rRNA". It matches the Rfam family "Bacterial small subunit ribosomal RNA", at positions 79 to 610 of the family's 1533-position model. Lineage: Bacteria; Pseudomonadati; Pseudomonadota; Gammaproteobacteria; Alteromonadales; Alteromonadaceae. The record is from RNAcentral.